AUCCUUUUGUAGUUCAUAAAUACAACGACUGGGUGUUCACAUGUGUGCUUGAAACAUGUCUUCCUCAAACCUUGUCACAACACCAGCACAUCAGCCGGCUGACA
Molecule: small nucleolar RNA, 104 nt
Organism: Otolemur garnettii (small-eared galago)
Lineage: Eukaryota; Metazoa; Chordata; Mammalia; Primates; Galagidae
Source: Ensembl